GACGUAGGGCGCGAGCGUUGUCCGGAUUUAUUGGGCGUAAAGAGCUCGUAGGCGGCUUGUCGCGUCGUCCGUGAAAACUUGGGGCUCAACCCCAAGCUUGCGGUCGAUACGGGCAGGCUGGAGUUUGGUAGGGGAGACUGGAAUUCCUGGUGUAGCGGUGAAAUGCGCAGAUAUCAGGAGGAACACCGGUGGCGAAGGCGGGUCUCUGGGCCGACACUGACGCUGAGACACGAAAGCGUGGGUAGCAAACAGG
Molecule: ribosomal RNA, 253 nt
Filed under: uncultured bacterium
Lineage: Bacteria
Description: partial 16S ribosomal RNA
Rfam family: Bacterial small subunit ribosomal RNA
Source: RNAcentral